UUCGUUUUCUCGGCCUUUUGGCUAAGAUCAAGUGUAGUAUCUGUUCUUAUCAGCUUUCGUGAGACUCUUAUAUCCAAUAAACCACUAGAAAACUGGAAGUGGCGUUGUGGCUCAAGCAGUAGAGUGCUCACCUUGAGCUGAAGAGCUGAGGGAUAGCGCCCAAGCCCAGAGUUCAAGCCCCA
Molecule: small nuclear RNA, 182 nt
Organism: Dipodomys ordii (Ord's kangaroo rat)
Lineage: Eukaryota; Metazoa; Chordata; Mammalia; Rodentia; Heteromyidae
Gene: U2
Rfam family: U2 spliceosomal RNA
About the family: U2 is a small nuclear RNA (snRNA) component of the spliceosome (involved in pre-mRNA splicing). Complementary binding between U2 snRNA (in an area lying towards the 5' end but 3' to hairpin I) and the branchpoint sequence (BPS) of the intron results the bulging out of an unpaired adenosine, on the BPS, which initiates a nucleophilic attack at the intronic 5' splice site, thus starting the first of two transesterification reactions that mediate splicing.
Source: Ensembl